Long non-coding RNA from Carya illinoinensis, 927 nucleotides. RefSeq lists it as uncharacterized. The record is from RefSeq and is a predicted model, not a curated record. Lineage: Eukaryota; Viridiplantae; Streptophyta; Magnoliopsida; Fagales; Juglandaceae. The transcript has 3 exons.
UCAGCUCUCAAAUCUUUCUCAACAUAUUUACUUUCACUCCCUCUCCCUCUCAUUGGUUCUCAUUAUAUUUUUCUCUCUCAAAAUUUCGUCAGUUAAGGUUUGGUUACUCUCUGCCGUGCGACACCACCUUUGUUCGAGGGUUUUGUUUGCCCUUGCAUCUCUUCACCAGAACGCUAUCAAAUGACGGUAAGACCUUUCUUCCACUCUUUUCACAACUUCUUCCUUUUCGGCGAUUUUUCAGUGAGUGUUGAAGGUGCCUUUUUAUGUGUUUUACCCAAAUCUGCGUCGCCGUCAAACCUCCAUAUUGGAGCGGUUGGGAUCGAUGUACCACCACUACUACGAUCAGCAUCAUCGCCGAUUACCCAUUCGCAUAGUCGCAGGGUGGUAAUCUAGUCCUAGGCAAUGCUAUAUUACUCAUAAAACCAGUCGAUCAUCACGCCGGCACUGUGAAAGGUUGUUUUUGAGUUGAUGUUUGCUGUCAGGGUGGUUUAUUGGUUGAUUGAGUGAUGAAGUGUGUUGGACUGGUUGUGCUGGAACUGUUGUAAGUCGUGUGAAUGCUUGGGUUUGACUUGUGGGCUGGUUGGCUAUUAUGUUACUGCUUGUGUGUGUGAAAAUGUGGAGAGUAGCUACUGUAGUAUAGUGUGAUGGUAGUGAUUGUAUGAUAGCGUUGCUAUGAAAUGGUCGGGUGAUUUAUAUAUCGAAAGUAAAUGGAUGUUUGGUUGAUUGUUGGAUUUGUUGGUUUAGGGGCUGUUUUAUGUUAGUUAAUUUGGUUAUGGGUUCAUGUCCUAUCGAAAGCAUAACCACGAAGUAGGCCGGACUUUCAAUAUGUGACCACCCAAGGUCAAGAAAAAGUUGCUUCAAGUUCUUGUCUCAACUUAAGAAUUUGAAGCAAGAAAAAAAUAUACAUGUGAAGUAAUUUCUAUGAUA